Molecule: ribosomal RNA, 440 nt
Filed under: uncultured bacterium
Lineage: Bacteria
Description: partial 16S ribosomal RNA
Rfam family: Bacterial small subunit ribosomal RNA
Source: RNAcentral
CCUACGGGGUGCAGCAGUAGGGAAUAUUGCUCAAUGGGGGAAACCCUGAAGCAGCAACGCCGCGUGGAGGAUGAAGGUUUUCGGAUUGUAAACUCCUUUUGUUAGAGAAGAUAAUGACGGUAUCUAACGAAUAAGCACCGGCUAACUCCGUGCCAGCAGCCGCGGUAAUACGGAGGGUGCAAGCGUUACUCGGAAUCACUGGGCGUAAAGAGCGCGUAGGCGGGAUAGCAAGUCAGAUGUGAAAUCCUAUGGCUUAACCAUAGAACUGCAUUUGAAACUGUUAUUCUAGAGUAUGGGAGAGGUAGGUGGAAUUCUUGGUGUAGGGGUAAAAUGCGUAGAGAUCAAGAGGAAUACUCAUUGCGAAGGCGACCUGCUAGAACAUAACUGACGCUGAUGCGCGAAAGCGUGGGGAGCAAACAGGAUUAGAUACCCCAGUAGUC